Molecule: ribosomal RNA, 253 nt
Filed under: uncultured bacterium
Lineage: Bacteria
Description: partial 16S ribosomal RNA
Rfam family: Bacterial small subunit ribosomal RNA
Source: RNAcentral
UACGAAGGGGGCUAGCGUUGCUCGGAAUCACUGGGCGUAAAGGGCGCGUAGGCGGCCAUUCAAGUCGGGGGUGAAAGCCUGUGGCUCAACCACAGAAUUGCCUUCGAUACUGUUUGGCUUGAGUUUGGUAGAGGUUGGUGGAACUGCGAGUGUAGAGGUGAAAUUCGUAGAUAUUCGCAAGAACACCAGUGGCGAGGGCGGCCAACUGGACCAAUACUGACGCUGAGGCGCGAAAGCGUGGGGAGCAAACAGG